UACGUAGGGUGCAAGCGUUGUCCGGAAUUAUUGGGCGUAAAGAGCUCGUAGGCGGGUCAUCAAGUCGGAUGUGAAAUCCCUCGGCUUAACCGAGGACGUGCAUUCGAAACUGAUGGUCUUGAGUACGAAAGAGGAUCGCGGAAUUCCCGGUGUAGAGGUGAAAUUCGUAGAUAUCGGGAGGAACACCAGUGGCGAAGGCGGCGAUCUGGGUCGAUACUGACGCUGAGGUGCGAAAGCGUGGGGAGCAAACAGG
This 253-nucleotide ribosomal RNA is filed under the name uncultured bacterium. RNAcentral describes it as "partial 16S ribosomal RNA". It matches the Rfam family "Bacterial small subunit ribosomal RNA", at positions 524 to 776 of the family's 1533-position model. The record is from RNAcentral.